CUUCUCUCUCUUUCUGGAGCCACAGUCGAUUCAGUCUUCCAAACUGCUUCUCUUCGUUUCUUGCCAUUCCUGCAGCAUUUCCGUCAACACGGAGUCACGUGACAAGAGUGGACAGACGGUCACAUGACACGGAGGAAGAAAGUCACACAGCUUUUGGAACAACAUUAAGAGUAAAUAUGACCAUCUGAAACCAGCACACAACCAUGGACAGCCACAGCACUAUGAAAGAAAAUGAGACGGGUUUGAAAUGACAUGAGGCUUAACCUGAGACUGUCAGCGGUGGUACAUUGUGCAGGUCUGGCGAGUCGUAAGUGCAAUGUACUGUCCAGGUCUGUACCUUUCUGACAGUUAAUGGGUCAGUGGACAGACAUUUUUGCAUUUAGACUGUAUUUUUGGAAAAAAAAAAUAACUUAGAACUAAACAAUUCUAUAAGAUGCCAAAAAAGAUUGUUAUAUUAAUGCUAAAAGACUGUAAAAACCUGUGAACUGGUUAAUGAUAAGUGCCCUCACUAUAUACUGUAUGGUGAAAAACUGUAAUAGAUCAAACAGGACAUUUAAUGUACAUUAGUUUUGUUACAUCUUUGUUACAUCUUAUGUUGAUAAAUUCAUGUUUAUUGCAUUAUUUUAGAGAGAUUUUAUCUUUUGUGUGUUUUGUAUUUGCGUGUAUGAAACUGUGCACCUUCUAUAUAUUAAUAUUUACCUCAGCUUGUGGAAAAGGAAGAACUUUGAUUCAUGUCACUUAUACCAUGUCACUUAUACCAAUUUAGAUUAUAUAUAAAAGUAUAUAUUAUUAUAAAGUAUAUAUAAUUAUAUAAAAAUUAUAAAUUAUACAUAAAGUUCAAUAGUUAAAAAGUUGCUUCUGCCACUUUGUUUGUUUUUGUUGUUUUACUGUAAAUGUCACUUUUUUGUGUGUACAGUGUAUGUGUGUUUGCAAAUUUAGAUAAGAGACAAAAUUGUACCCAAAAGUCUGACAAAACCUUCCUUUAGGGAUAUUUAAGGAUGUGCUCAUGUAGAAAAAUAAUUCAUAAAGAAACUUUUAUAUAUAUAUAUAUAUAUAUAUAUAUAUAUAUAUAUAUAUAUAUAUAUAUAUAUAUAUAUAUAUAUAUAUAUAUAUAUCAGAGAAAUACAUAUGCUGUGUAAUCAAAUAAAUGCACAUGAGCUCAUUCUGUGAUCUUUAUAUACUUUAAUGUUAAUGAGUGUUUGAGUAGUUGCAAGUGAAUAAAUAACAUUAACAAAUAAGGUUCUCUUUCUUCUGUUUAUGCUGUCAUCUCUUUAUCCAGGCCAUAUUCAGACCUCAGUCAUCAUAAAGAGAUUUCAGCCUCUCAUCUGCCCCUCUACACCAGUGAACAGCAUGUACCUCUAAUAGUGUGUGUGUGUGUGUGUGUGUGUGUGUGUGUGUGUGUGUGUGUGUGUGUGUGUGUGUGUGUGUGUGUGUGUGUG
Long non-coding RNA from Ctenopharyngodon idella (grass carp), 1439 nucleotides. RefSeq lists it as uncharacterized. NCBI's taxonomy places the organism in Eukaryota, Metazoa, Chordata, Actinopteri, Cypriniformes, Xenocyprididae. The transcript has 5 exons. The record is from RefSeq and is a predicted model, not a curated record.